This is a non-coding RNA of Paramuricea clavata, 215 nucleotides long. The record is from the annotation of a GenBank genome assembly. Lineage: Eukaryota; Metazoa; Cnidaria; Anthozoa; Malacalcyonacea; Plexauridae.
GUUGCAAGGGCACUUUAACUCGUCUCAAACUCUUUCGACUAGAAAUUUAUUUUGUAGUCUUAAAUCAAAUUCUCAUCUGAUGAAUUUUGUGUCUUGUUUUUAACAAUUCAUAUCUACAUGAUAUUACUUGGAAUAUGUUUAUUCAGAUACAGUAAAUACUGAUAGCACAACAGUAUGCAUAAGUCAUAACUAGUUUACUGUAUAUUAAAUAUAGA